This is a non-coding RNA of Paramuricea clavata, 710 nucleotides long. The record is from the annotation of a GenBank genome assembly. NCBI's taxonomy places the organism in Eukaryota, Metazoa, Cnidaria, Anthozoa, Malacalcyonacea, Plexauridae.
UUCAUUUCCUGGUUUGCUCCUGUUGGAUUGCUCUCGCCUCUCGUUGGGGAAAACUAAGAAGAUUUAUCCAGUUCAUGCCUAGAAGCCGAACCGGCAAGUGUGCUCGCAUUCGAGUAUAAUCCAUUGAGCUCAUGAAUAAAAUUUUUGAGGUAUGUUAUGGAAAAACAUCGUUUCUUAUAGACUAGUUAUUAAUAAUUGUAUUUUUUGAAUAGUUUCAAAAACUAUUUCAAUCAGGCGUUUGCACUGUAUCGAGGGAAGAAGCACGCUGAUGUUUAACUAGAGAUUAAAGUUGCAACAUAUUCUGGCUGCCUGAUUAUUGAAGUAAAACUAUAUCUUUGGUGUUUGUGCGUUGUCAGUGUUAGUGUGUCACGUUUCUAUGUUGUGUUUGUGUUUGGCGAAGUUAAACAAAAAAAAUUUAAAAACUUAACUAUAGACGCACUUAGCAAACGCUAGUAAAUAAGUUUUCUAAUCAUACUCAACGAAGAUAUGAUCGUCUGGAAAUGCAACCGUGAUGAAUAAUAUUUAACGCAAUUGAGACAAAAGAUUUGUGCACGGUGAAGUACAAUCCAACAUCAAACAAAGACCUUCUAUUUUGUAGUUUUGAUGUUUGCCAGGCUUCCAGACCAUCAUAUCGAUCUUCACACUUAUGGUCUAAUCUGCAAAAGGCUCAUCACGAAGUCUGUGCGGUUGUCCCAUUAUUUCAAAAGGUA